This 1269-nucleotide long non-coding RNA is filed under the name Oncorhynchus mykiss (rainbow trout). RNAcentral describes it as "lncRNA (ENSOMYG00000053683.1)". Lineage: Eukaryota; Metazoa; Chordata; Actinopteri; Salmoniformes; Salmonidae. The record is from RNAcentral.
CAAUACCCCCUGUAUAUAGUCUCCACAUUGACUCUGUACCAGUACCUCCUGUAUAUAGCCUCCACAUUGACUCUGUACCAGUACCCCCUGUAUAUAGCCUCCACAUUGACUCUGUACCGUAACACCCUGUAUAUAGCCUCCACAUUGACUCUGUACCGUAACACCCUGUAUAUAGCCUCCACAUUGACUCUGUACCAGUACCCCCUGUAUAUAGCCUCCACAUUGACUCUGUAUCGGUACCCCCUGUAUAUAGCCUCCACAUUGACUCUGUACCAGUACCCCCUGUAUAUAGCCUCCACAUUGACUCUGUACCAAUACCCCCUGUAUAUAGUCUCCACAUUGACUCUGUACCGUAAUACCCUGUAUAUAGCCUCCACAUUGACUCUGUACCAGUACCCCCUGAAUAUAGCCUCCACAUUGACUCUGUACCGUAAUACCCCCCUGUAUAUAGUCUCCACAUUGACUCUGUACCAGUACCCCCUUUAUAUAGCCUCCACGUUGACACAGUACCAGUUCCCCCUGUAUAUAGUCUCCACAUUGACUCUGUACCAAUACCCACUGUAUAUAGCCUCCACAUUGACUCUGUACCAAUACCUCCUGUAUAUAGCCUCCACAUUGACUCUGUACCAGUACCCCCUGUAUAUAGCCUCCACAUUGACUCUGUACCAAUACCCCCUGUAUAUAGUCUCCACAUUGACUCUGUACCAGUACCUCCUGUAUAUAGCCUCCACAUUGACUCUGUACCAGUACCCCCUGUAUAUAGCCUCCACAUUGACUCUGUACCAGUACCUCCUGUAUAUAGCCUCCACAUUGACUCUGUACCAGUACCCCCUGUAUAUAGCCUCCACAUUGACUCUGUACCAGUACCCCCUGUAUAUAUCCUCCACAUUGACUCUGUACCAGUACCUCCUGUAUAUAGCCUCCACAUUGACUCUGUACCAGUACCCCCUGUAUAUAGCCUCCACAUUGACUCUGUACCAGUACCCCCUGUAUAUAGCCUCCACAUUGACUCUGUACCAGUACCCCCUGUAUAUAGCCUCCACAUUGACUCUGUACCGUAACACCCUGUAUAUAGCCUCCACAUUGACUCUGUACCUGUACCCCCUGUAUAUAGCCUCCACAUUGACUCUGUACCGGUACUUCCUGUAUAUAGCCUCCACAUUGACUCUGUACCAGUACCCCCUGUAUAUAGCCUCCACAUUGACUCUGUACCAGUACCCCCUGUAUAUAUCCUCCACAUUGACUCUGUACCGUACACCCUGUAUAUAG